CUACAUUGACAUUGUAGAGGUCAUAGGUUCGAGUCCUAUACCGUCCACCA
Molecule: transfer RNA, 50 nt
Filed under: Candidatus Beckwithbacteria bacterium
Lineage: Bacteria; Candidatus Beckwithiibacteriota
Description: tRNA-Ser
Rfam family: tRNA
About the family: Transfer RNA (tRNA) molecules are approximately 80 nucleotides in length. Their secondary structure includes four short double-helical elements and three loops (D, anti-codon, and T loops).
Source: RNAcentral